RNAcentral lists this ribosomal RNA (420 nucleotides) under uncultured prokaryote. Its description in RNAcentral is "partial 16S ribosomal RNA". The record is from RNAcentral.
CCCUACGGGGUGCACCAGGCUCAAGCACAAUACUCUUGGGCAGGGCCUGCCUGACGGCGUAGCUGAUGGCGGAAGUGGGGCAAGGAUUACCAGUCACUUCGGCAAUUGUCUUAAUGGCGCGACCGGCAUAUUUCUUUACAUGCACCGGCAACGAAACCUGCUCACCAUCUACACUGAUCAUAACUGUGGUAUCGCCUAACUGCUGGCCUCCGAUUUGAACGUAUCUGCCGUCAGUGCCGGUUGUUGAAGUCGCAACCGAGGUAUCCUCGACUUUAGCAUAUAUCGGUCCGUUAGCCGCACCGCUGAUUUGAACCCGCCGGGUUUCACCAAGAGGUACUGUGAUAUCUUUGUCGCUAACGCUGAUAGCGGGCAUAAGGAGCAGGGAUCUGAUAUUUGAAACCCAGGAAUUGGCGGGGGAGC